CGAAAGCGUGACGGAGCAAUGCCGCGUGCAGGAUGAAGCCCCUCGGGGUGUAAACUGCUGUCAGGGAUUAGGAACACAAUGACCAGUCCCAAAGGAAGAGACGACUAACUCUGUGCCAGCAGUCGCGGUAAUACAGGGGUCUCGAGCGUUAGUCGGAAUCACUGGGCUUAAAGCGUGCGUAGGCGGAUGUGCAGGCGUCGUGUGAAAGCCCUCGGCUCAACCGGGGAAUUGCACGGCGAACCGCAUGUCUUGAGACAAGUAGGGGCGGUCGGAACGAUAGGUGGAGUGGUGAAAUGCGUUGAUAUCUAUCGGAACGCCAAAGGUGAAGACAGACCGCUGGGCUUGUUCUGACGCUGAGGCACGAAAGCGUGGGGAACAAACGGGAUUAGAUACCCCGGUAGUCCACGCCCUAAACAAUGUGCACUAGAUCGAAGGAGGUACUGACGCCUUUUUCGGUCGAAGUAAAAACGUUGAGUGCACCGCCUGGGGAGUACGGUCGCAAGGCUA
RNAcentral lists this ribosomal RNA (507 nucleotides) under uncultured bacterium. Its description in RNAcentral is "bacterial SSU rRNA". It matches the Rfam family "Bacterial small subunit ribosomal RNA", at positions 376 to 896 of the family's 1533-position model. The record is from RNAcentral.